This is a long non-coding RNA of Anas platyrhynchos (mallard), 1632 nucleotides long. RefSeq lists it as uncharacterized. NCBI's taxonomy places the organism in Eukaryota, Metazoa, Chordata, Aves, Anseriformes, Anatidae. The record is from RefSeq and is a predicted model, not a curated record.
UGAAGGUCAAAGCCUGGCUUGACUCCAUCCAGUUUAAGUUGGGUCCUGUCUGCAUGCUGCUUGGACCAGGCUGCUCAGUGUUGUGAGAGGAAUCCCUGAAAGAGAGGAGCCACAAAGAGAGAACUUCGGUAGGGACCAAGCAACUUUGUACUUCAUCCUGCCAGCUCGCCUCUGCAGCCUUGGAGCAUGUCACAACCUGGGCAAAUUCUGUAGACAGCCUGGAGACCAACACAGCUCCCUCCGACCUUCUGGGAGCUUACUGUAGCGAUGUAACCCCAAGGUGGAAAGUGCAAAAUGUCCUUGGAAAAAGGCCGUUUUCACAUUCCUCCUGAAAACGGAGGGUUUCAGGGGGCUGCCCUUCCUUCCCAUCUUCUUAUGGUGUUUGAGCACCAACAGCUGUUGACCAGAGGGCUGAAGACUCAAUGAAAUGUCCAGGAGCACACUGUCCACCCCAGAAAUACUUAGUGAUCACACCAGAGGCUGGCUAUGUGAUGCGUUCCCUGCUUUACCACUGUCUAGUCUGGGCAGAGCUGAUCUGACUUGCUUUAAUGGUGAACCCAGAGCCCUUGGCUGCUGUGGAUGAUGCUGGAAGUUGACAAGCUAUGGCUAAUGUGGCGGGAGGGAAAAGCCACUUCAUUUUCUCUGCAUUUGUAGAGAAACAAAUGGCUGCAGGUACAAGUGAUCAUUGUCUUCAGCUACACCUUGUGCUGUGGGGCCAGGGCAGUCUGCCGACAGGAUGUUACGAUGCUCUGGACAUCCUGGGGACUGAUGGGGCUGCUCCUCUUCCACAUCCUCAGGUCUCACCAGUGCGCAGCUUCCUCUGCCAGGUAGGUAAUGGCAGCUUUCUGCAGGAGCUGCACCACCUGUGGCUCUUUGUCCUGCUGGAGUUGCAGAGCAAACGUGGACCCAUGAGGUUGUUUUGCCCUAGGUGGGCUUCUCCGUGUGUUCCUGUGGGAUCAGAGUGCUGGUUUGGGGUCAGUCUGGAGGGAAGGGCACCGUCCUUUUGUGUCCCCGAUGGCACAGCACAAAUCCACCUCUGUGUGUGAUGCUGCUGAAGCAUCCCUCUCCCUGUCAUGAAAUAUUCAUGCCUUUCUCAAAACAGGCUCCGGCACAGCAGAUCUGCACGGCCCUCCCCUCCCCUGCCCCCUUCACACCCCGGCAAUCUGUGCUGCAGAGAGGGUGGCUGUGGGCUCUGCUGUGAGGUCAAGCCAGAUCCAGGCAGCUGAUCUCUGCGUCUUUGAGGAAGUAAAACAGCAGAAAAGAAGUAGAAAAACCCCGGGAGGUGCUUUUGAGCAUUAACCCCUUCUGUGCAGGGAAGCACCAACAGGAGCAGAGUACAAUGAGCAGUCACGGGAGAAUAAGAUGCAGAGAGCAGCAGGGAUGAAGCAGUCCUUUGUGAAGCUGGGAAGAGGGCUCCCAAACCUGGGAAUUCUGCUGGAGUGCUCAGGCCCUGGUGCCUUGGAUGGAUAGGUGUGAGUCUAUCUCAUGCGAGUUACUCUGCUUCUCUGGCUUUCCUGAAAGCUUCCUCGAUUUCACUGUAUUUGUUCUGCAAGGUGAGAGUCCUUGCUAGGAUGUAACGGAGAAGUGUUCUGUUUCCCCCGUGGGUAGAAGAGAAUAAAUCUUGAACCUUGG